Molecule: transfer RNA, 87 nt
Filed under: candidate division WWE3 bacterium
Lineage: Bacteria; candidate division WWE3
Description: tRNA-Leu
Rfam family: tRNA
About the family: Transfer RNA (tRNA) molecules are approximately 80 nucleotides in length.
Source: RNAcentral
GCCGCGGUGCUGAAACCGGUAGACAGGCUAGGUUCAGAACCUAGUGUUCGCAAGGACGUGAGGGUUCAAAUCCCUCCCGCGGCACCA